This 460-nucleotide ribosomal RNA is filed under the name uncultured bacterium. RNAcentral's name for it is "partial 16S ribosomal RNA". It matches the Rfam family "Bacterial small subunit ribosomal RNA", at positions 338 to 795 of the family's 1533-position model. The record is from RNAcentral.
CCUACGGGAGGCAGCAGUGAGGAAUAUUGGUCAAUGGCCGGAAGGCUGAACCAGCCAUGCCGCGUGAAGGUCAGUGCCCUAUGGGCGUUAAACUUCUUUUGUGCGGGAGCAAUAAUGGUCACGUGUGGCCAGACGAGAGUACCGUACGAAUAAGCAUCGGCUAACUCCGUGCCAGCAGCCGCGGUAAUACGGGGGAUGCAAGCGUUAUCCGGAUUUAUUGGGUUUAAAGGGUGCGUAGGCUGUGUGGUAAGUCAGCGGUGAAAUGCCCCCGCUCAACGGGGUGAAGUGCCAUUGAUACUGCCUGGCUGGAAUGCGGAUGCCGUGGGAGGAAUGUGGGGUGUAGCGGUGAAAUGCAGAGAGAUCACACAGAACACCGAUUGCGAAGGCAUCUCACGAAUCCGCGAUUGACGCUGAUGCACGAAAGCGUGGGUAUCAAACAGGAUUAGAUACCCUUGUAGUC